GAGUUUGAUCAUGGCUCAGGAUGAAGCUAGCGCAGGCCUAAUACAUGCAAGUCGUACGGGAUAAGUUGUAGCAAUACGACUUUGAGAGUGGCGUACGGGUGCGUAACACGUAUGCAACCUACCUUUAACUGGGGGAUAGCCCGGAGAAAUUCGGAUUAAUACCCCAUAAUAUAAUAACAGGGCAUCUUGUUAUUAUCAAAACUCCGGUGGUUAAAGAUGGGCAUGCGGCUGAUUAGCUAGUUGGUGAGGUAAUGGCUCACCAAGGCUACGAUCAGUAGGGGGUCUGAGAGGAUGUCCCCCCACACUGGUACUGAGACACGGACCAGACUCCUACGGGAGGCAGCAGUAGGGAAUAUUGGUCAAUGGACGAAAGUCUGAACCAGCCAUGCCGCGUGCAGGAUGACUGCCCUAUGGGUUGUAAACUGCUUUUAUACGGGAAGAAACCCCUGAACGUGUUCGGGGCUGACGGUACUGUAUGAAUAAGGAUCGGCUAACUUCGUG
Molecule: ribosomal RNA, 501 nt
Filed under: uncultured bacterium
Lineage: Bacteria
Description: bacterial SSU rRNA
Rfam family: Bacterial small subunit ribosomal RNA
Source: RNAcentral